RNAcentral lists this ribosomal RNA (437 nucleotides) under uncultured bacterium. RNAcentral's name for it is "bacterial SSU rRNA". It matches the Rfam family "Bacterial small subunit ribosomal RNA", at positions 335 to 763 of the family's 1533-position model. The record is from RNAcentral.
ACUCCUACGGGAGGCAGCAGUGGGGAAUAUUGCACAAUGGGGGAAACCCUGAUGCAGCCAUGCCGCGUGUGUGAAGAAGGCCUUCGGUUGUAAAGCACUUCAGUAGGGAGGAAGGUAGUGUAGUUAACACCUGCAUUAUUUGACGUUACCUACAGAAGAAGCACCGGCUAACUCCGUGCCAGCAGCCGCGGUAAUACGGAGGGGUGCGAGCGUUAAUCGGAAUUACUGGGCGUAAAGCGCAUGCAGGCGGCCUGUUAAGUCAGAUGUGAAAGCCCGGGGGCUUAACCUCGGAAUUGCAUUUGAAACUGGCAGGCUAGAGUCUUGUAGAGGGGGUAGGAAUUUCAGGUGUAGCGGUGAAAUGCGUAGAGAUCUGAAGGAAUACCAGUGGCGAAGGCGGCCCCCUGGACAAAGACUAGACGCUCAGAUGCGAAAGCAGU